This is a long non-coding RNA of Cydia fagiglandana, 1241 nucleotides long. RefSeq lists it as uncharacterized. The record is from RefSeq and is a predicted model, not a curated record. NCBI's taxonomy places the organism in Eukaryota, Metazoa, Arthropoda, Insecta, Lepidoptera, Tortricidae. The transcript is spliced from 3 exons.
UGUUUCUAUAAAUAACAAUCGUCUGGAAUGGAAAACUCGUUUAUUUUGAAUCAUUAAUUUCAAAAUACCUACGCUAUAAAUUUGAGAAAGCUGAUUCCAGAAAUCUGCCUCAGUUAUAUAAUAUAACUUAGUUUUAUUGGAGUAUGUAUCCAUAUAGCAUCCAAUUCCAACCAUAACUUGGCUGCAAAAUAAAUCAAGUAAAUCAAGGGAGCAAAAAUACAAAUGUCAUCGUGAUUCCUAUUUAGAUACAGCUGUGAGAUAUGUAACUGCACUUGGGCCCAGAACAAAGUUGAGCAUUUUGUAUUGAAACGAACGUCAUAUUAAUUAUUAAUCGUCGUAAUACUUUAUGACCGUAAAUAAUGCAUGGGAACAGAGUAAAUAACAAACCAUACACUUCUCUUCUGGAUGGUCAACAAGAAGCCAUCAUUGUCAGAUGCUCGUGCAGAACAUGAUAAACAUACAUUUAAUGUAAAGUUACUAUUUUUUUUGGAAACAUAUAUAACAUAUUUCCCAAAUUAAUAAAAAAGUAGGUAAACAAAAACAUGUUUUAUUAUUCACAACUCUUUAUUAAGUCUUGUCCACCAUGAUAUCAGCAGCUUGAACUGCAACAUGUACCUGGAAAUUAGAAAUUAUAUCUUUUUAAAGCAGUUUCAGGCUGAAUUUUGAGUAUGGCUAUGUAUUCUUGUAUAUUCCUUCUUUCUAGUAGGCACCAUCUCUGUUUAACGGUUUGCCUUUAGAUACUCUGGCUACAUUACCACAGAAAAUAAAUAGAUACCACGACCCUACCAAUAAAGUGAGCUUUUAAAUACUUAAUUGUAGUAAAUUAAUAUUAAUUUUAUACUUACAUCGACGUGAUUCUCACAGCAAUACUGUGUGUAACACGUGAAGUAGGUAUUCCAAGUUUAAUUCACGGCACCAUCUUUCACGUCAUAGGUCUUCGUGGAUUCGAACUAUUAUUUUUGUGAAUCAUUCCCACACAUAGGAACAAGGUUUUUGAUAUAUUAUUAAGCAAUGAAAUCUACUGUUUAGGUAUUAAUUAUAAAUCAAAUUGUAACAAACAAGCGCAGCGGUUUAACUGAGAAAUUUUGUUAUGACAAUCGAUGACAAUGAUAACUUUGACAAUACGUGAGUGACGGAAUUAUUUACUAUGGUUCGAUAACUUUUAUUAUGCAAUGACUUUACAUUCAGCCCAGGAGAAGGUCAAACUAAGGUCAUAAGGAUAUUUGUUGAAAUAUCUUCAA